This 206-nucleotide ribosomal RNA is filed under the name uncultured bacterium. RNAcentral's name for it is "partial 16S ribosomal RNA". It matches the Rfam family "Bacterial small subunit ribosomal RNA", at positions 1295 to 1500 of the family's 1533-position model. The record is from RNAcentral.
GGAUUGCAGCCUGCAACUCGGCUGCAUGAAGUUGGAAUCGCUAGUAAUCGCGGAUCAGAAUGCCGCGGUGAAUACGUUCCCGGGUCUUGUACACACCGCCCGUCACACCAUGGGAGUCGGGAAUGCCCGAAGUCGGUGACCUAACCGAAAGGGAGGAGCCGCCGAAGGCAGGCCUGGUAACUGGGGUGAAGUCGUAACAAGGUAAC